RNAcentral lists this long non-coding RNA (18751 nucleotides) under Triticum aestivum (bread wheat). RNAcentral describes it as "long non-coding RNA (TAES_LNC026258)". The stretch from base 14371 to 14485 matches the Rfam family "MIR1120/MIR1122 microRNA precursor family". Lineage: Eukaryota; Viridiplantae; Streptophyta; Magnoliopsida; Poales; Poaceae. The record is from RNAcentral.
CCUCUUCUCCCUUAUGGCCCAUGUAGGCCCAAUAACCCCCGGGGGGGUUCCGGUAACCCCCCGGUACUCCGGUAAAAUCCAGAUUUCACCCGAAACGUUUCUAAUAUCCAAAUAUAGGCUUCCAAUAUAUCAAUCUUUAUGUCUCGACCAUUUCGAGACACCUCGUUAUGUCCGUGAUCACAUCCGGGACUCCGAACAACCUUCGGUACAUCAAAACACAAAAACCCUAAUUACGAUCGUCACCGAACUUUAAGCGUGCGGACCCUACGGGUUCGAGAACUAUGUAGACAUGACCGAGACACGUCUCCGGUCAAUAACCAAUAGCGGAACCUGGAUGCUCAUAUUGGCUCCUACAUAUUCUACGAAGAUCUUUAUCGGUCAGACCGCAUAACAACAUACGUUGUUCCCUUUGUCAUCGGUAUGUUACAUGCCCGAGAUUCGAUCGUCGGUAUCUUAAUACCUAGUUCAAUCUCGUUACCGGCAAGUCUCUUUACUCGUUCCAUAAUACAUCAUCCCGCAACUAACUUAUUAGUUGCAAUGCUUGCAAGGCUUGAGUGAUGUGCAUUACCAAGAGGGCCCAGAGAUACCUCUCCGACAAUCGGAGUGACAAAUCCUAAUCUCGAAAUACGCCAACCCAACAAGUACCUUCGGAGACACCUGUAGAGCACCUUUAUAAUCACCCAGUUACGUUGUGACGUUUGGUAGCACACAAAGUGUUCCUCCGGUAAACGGGAGUUGCAUAAUCUCAUAGUCAUAGGAACAUGUAUAAGUUAUGAAGAAAGCAAUAGCAACAAACUAAACGAUCAAGUGCUAAGCUAACGGAAUGGGUCAAGUCAAUCACAUCAUUCUCCUAAUGAUGUGAUCCCAUUAAUCAAAUGACAACUCAUGUCUAUGGUUAGGAAACAUAACCAUCUUCGAUCAACGAGCUAGUCAAGUAGAGGCAUACUAGUGACACUUUGUUUGUCUAUGUAUUCACACAUGUAUUAUGUUUCCGGUUAAUACAAUUCUAGCGUGAAUAAUAAACAUUUAUCAUGAUAUAAGGAAAUAAAUAAUAACUUUAUUAUUGCCUCUAGGGCAUCUUUCCUUCACUCCCAACUCUAGCUGCCCCCAUCUGCUUGGCCCCCUAGUCCGAGGAGGGGGGUCACAUCACUUAUGGUCCCAUUUGGCCCAAGUGGCUGCCAUCCCUUGGGUCAGCCACAUGGAUGUAGAUGGUUACAUAUAUUUAUAUUAUUACAAAUAUGUAGUCCAAUGCAAUCUACACGAGCUUCGCCUUGGAUCGCGAAACAUCACUAUGUGGUGAUGGCGAAAAAUUGAUUGUACCUUUGCAAGCCUUUGUCUCUCAAAAGUUUAUAUUCUUCCUACUUUUCUUGAUUUUUUAUGAGUUCGAGGAGGCUCCUCCAACUUCCAACAUAAAAUAUGCGAUCCCGCCCUUUUGCAAUUUACAAGUGCGUUAGCCCAAGAACUGUAUAAAAAAUAUUAAAUAGAACAAAGAAAGAAGGUAACUAAAAUCAAAAGGAUUAGAUAUGUUUAGGACUUUUUAGAGUCCUUCUAUAUAGCAUAAACACAAAUUCCCAUGAUUGUACUUGUUCCAGAAUCACGCUACAUUGCGAAAAGCCUUGCCAUUGGUAUUUUUACAAGUAAAUGUCACGAGUUCUUACAGACGGGUCAUCUGUCAAUGAUCUCUUUUCAUAGCCAACACGUGGGUGGAUAGUAGAUAUGAGAGAAGACCAUGCCAUCACCGAAAUGCAUGCCUUUGUUUAUUUACCAUCUAGAUGAGUUGUUUAUGUAUUUCUAUUCAGGGUUGUUUAUAUAAAUUAAUGCUUCUAAUAUGAUGCAAACACACAUGAAAAAUUGUAUGCAUGUAUGGGUGCACAGCUCCCUUGGUGCCUGACAUGGCCCAUUGUGUCUUUAGAACAAAUACUAAAUGUGGUUAGUGGGAUUAGUAUCUGGAGAUUAUUGUUCGGUAGGGAGUAGUAAACAGACCAAAAAGGACUAAAGUGCGUUUCCAUACGACAGCUGGGAAGCCAAUGGAAGAACACGUGCACAUGAGAACUAGUAGGUAGUGAAGUCCAGUCGGAUGUGUGUGUCUUGGAGCUGCGAGUUAGUCUAUAUCUACACACCCCCUAUGAACAAAGAUACAAAGAUAAUAUAGAUGAUGACUAGGCGGAUGAGUACUUCAUUGUGUUUCCUUAUAAUACUUCUUAUCAUCACUCAUUCACAUGUCAUGUAUGGAUGUGACGAUCUUUCCAUUUUACCUUUAUUAACAUCCUUUGUCAUGAUCGAUGCGAUUGCAUCUUGUAAGCAUGAUAACACAUUUGUUGGUUGGCACACAAAAGUCUGGAGCAAAGGAAGUAACUCCUUAACUUUUGCAAUUUUGGAAGGUGGAGUUGCUUGGUUGGUACACCUAAACCCGAAGCAAAUAUGUUACUAAUUUCUUUUCCAAGUUUGGAAGAUAGUAAGGGAGUGUUUGGUUCAUGUCCUGGACCAAAUUUGCCUGGCCUGAGACCUCCUUGAGAUCGGCCUGGACACUGUUUGGUUCGUGCCUGAGUACCUGAAGCUAGCCUGGCCUAGAAACGAAAAGACACCAUUAGCUUGUCUUGGGAAUAUCCCAUCAUCAUUAGCCUGGCUCAGGCUGACGAGAAAGGACGCCUAGUUGCUGCCUGGGUCUGCCUGGGAGUACUAAUCAUGUAUGGGAGGAUCAAAAGUAAAUUAAUAGGCUGAUGUGACAUGUGUAACCCAUCACCGAGUGUGGAGGCGAACCAAACAGGGCUUGCCUGCCCAGGCAUAAAGCUGUUGUUUCCCAGGCCCGAGCCAGGCGCUUGAAUUUUUCAGGCACGUCGUCCAGGACGGCAACCAAACAGCCCCUAAAUUACAAGCUCUAUCGUGGAGCACAAAAAAAUCAAGAGCAAAGUACGUUUCUAAAAGUUUGGAAGGGAGUAUAUUCUUGCUUGGUCGGUAUACAGAAGUCUGGGGCAAAGUAACUCCUUUCUUACAAAUUUGGAAAAUAGUAAAUGUGUGUCUAGUUGAUAUGCAAAAGUCCGGGUCAAAAUAAGUAACUUCUUCCUUUUCAUAAGUUUGGAAGAUGGUAAAUUCUUGUGGUUGGUCUACAGAAUUUAGGGGCAAAGUAAGUGACUUCUUUGUUUUUGUAAGUUUGGAAGAUCGUAAAUUCUUGUGGUUGAUCUACAUGAUUUAGGGGCAAAGUAAGUGGCUCCUUUUUUUCAAGUUUAGAAAAUAGUAAAUUAUUGUCUGGUUGGUGUGCUAGCAGAAGUCCAGGGCAAAGUAAGUAGUACAUUCUUGUCUGGUUGAUAUCUAGGGGCAAAGUAAGUAACUUCUUUCUUCUUGCAAGUUUGGAAGAUAGUAAAUUCUUACUUGGUGUUAUCAAAAAAUAGGGAACAAAAUAAGUGACUCCUUUCUUUGUCAUAAGUUUGGAAGGUAGUAAAUUCUUUUCUAGCAUAUACUAUUGUGCUUCAAAAUGCACAUGCAAAAUGUGAUUGCAUUGCGUUGGGUCGGAGCAACUAUCUUUCUUAUCCGUUUGUCCGAAAAUUAACUGGAGAACUAUCUUUUUUUACAGAUUAGGCAAAUCUUUUGCCUCCGCUUAAAAAAAGGUAGUCCUAUGUGACUUGUAGUGAUAAGAAAAAUAGAUGGAUUUUUGCAAAAAAAAAGAAUGGAAAUAAAACUGAGUAAUAGCCUUUUGCCCCCCAAAAAGAAUGUGAACAAAUGCACACAAAACCGAGAAUAUGCAGUGAAUAAGCGUGGUCGGCAGGCCGUAAAUUAACUGGAGAACUUUUUUUUACAGAUUAGGCAAAUCUUUUGCUUCCGUUUAAAAAAAUAGACUUAAGUGGCCUGUAGUUAUAAGAAAAAAUAGGAUGGGUUUUUGCAACAAAAAAAAGAUGGAAAUAAAACAGAGUAAUAGCCUUUUGACCCCAAAAAAGGAAUGUGAAGAAGUGCACACAAAACCGAGAAUUUGCAGUGAAUAAUUGUUGCCUUUAUUCUGCAAACAAACUGGGCUGGGCCUGCACAAAAUUAAUUGGCGGAUGCUGUGGCCCGUCAUCGACAAAAAAGGAAUGGGAAAAUAAUCGAAAAAAGCGUGGUCGGCAGGAUUCGAACCUGCGCGGGCAAAGCCCACAUGAUUUCUAGUCAUGCCCGAUAACCACUCCGGCACGACCACUUUGAUGCAACAUUCUCUUCUGAUAUCUUUACAUUCUGACUUUCUGUAGUGUGCAUUUUCCAUGUUCGAUGGGAUAAAUAUUUUUUUGUUGUUGUAAGAAAGCAGAGUAUAACGUCAUCCACAUGACGGUACUGAAGAUCGAACGCGGAGAUUUCAACAGUAAAGCUAAACAAAGCGAGACACAUUUGGCUAGACUUCGCUUCACUAGCUACCGCUUUUUCGUGCAUAUGUGUUCUUUCAUUUCGGCUGCCCACCUGUUGUAGGAAAAUGCAUUCUGCCUUUUCAUAGUUCGGUAAUUAUUUGUAGCAAACAACCCCCCAAGUAUUAUUUGUCAUGUAAGGCUUGGGAGGUAUAUGGAACACGUUGCACUUUCAAGAAUCUCUACAUUCAGUUUCAUGCGCAACAAAAUAUUACAAUUAUAUGAUGGGCAUUUUCGUGUGUUCAAUAAUGUGUGCCACCUCCAUCUUCUUUUUGAGCCUUCCAAACAAGCGACUUUGAGGAACAAAUAGACAGCGAAAAAAGAGAUGAUGACUACGGAGGUAAGUUCUUCAUUUCGUUUCCAUGUAGUCCUCUUUAUUGCCACUCAUUCACACUCCACAUAGGGCUUCAACGUCUAUUCCCAUUGCAUUGUUAUUCUCACCACAUCAUUUUGUCGAUGCCAUUGCAUAUCGUGAGCAUGAUAAUGUACACAUUAAUUGGUAUACAAAAGCUAGGAAGAAAGUUAGUAAAUUGUUUAUUUUUGCGGGUUUGGAAUGUAGUACAUUAUUGCCUUGUAAUAUGUUGCAAAAUGCAUAUGAAUUUUGUGAUUAAAUAUGUCAUGGAUCUGCACAAUUUCCUUGCUGGCUGCUGUGGCCCAUCAUGGCCUUCAGAUCAAGAUGAAACAUGGUUGUCGACAUUAAAAUCUAGAGGUUGUUUGGUAGAGAGUAGUGACCUAACCGGAAAAAGGCCAGAGUGCACUUUCCCACUACAGGUGUGAAGCCGAAACGGAAGACCAUGAAAAAUAGUAGGCAAUGACAUGCAAUCCAUCCAAACGAUUUUGGUGUAUAGUGUAGGAUUGACUAAUCCAUCUAUAGCUUCAUAUCCUUUGUCAUCUUAAUCUCCAUGGGUCGACGAAAAAGAUAGAUGAUGACUAUGUAGUCAUCAUUCAUCUUUAUCUCCUGGCUCCAUGAAACCAAAAAAAAAAAAGAUAAGGGAUAGAUAGAUGAUGACUAUGCAAGCUAGUACUCCAUUUUGUUUUGUUUUGUUUGUUUCCAUUACGAUGUUUUCUAUUAUUACACGCAACAUACUACUCAGAAAUUGUGAUUUGUGGUGAGUAAUAAUGUAUUCAGGCAAUGACGAAAAGUUCUAUUUCUAUUAUUAUUUUCAAGUACUGGCCUUCCCCAAGAAGCAAACAAUAAUGUAUAUGGGAUGUGCAGUGAUAAAAAAAUAUAAGGAAAACAAACCCAGUAGGUAGUGAGUAAUUGUCGCCUCAUACGACGACACUGCAAGAUGCCCAUGAAAAUUGUGAUUUAAUUUUGGUCGGGCCUUCACGAAAUCCUUGUUAGUCGCUAUUUGGUUUGGACUUACACAAAAAUCUUGGUGGAUGUGGCCCAUCAUACUUUCAAAACAAAAUAAAAAGAUUGAAAACUACUUUCAGGUAUACUAGGUGCAAACUUAAACAAUCUCAACUAAAAAACUAUACCUUUUUACUUGAUGUGAAGAAAAAUAGAUAUUACGCAUGCAGAUUAACAACCAUCUACUCGAUAGUUUUGGAAUUUUAAUUGGAAAAAAUAAAACACGAAUAACAUUUGAAUGACAUAAUUGUGGCUUUCCAAUCCAGAACCACAAUCUCCAUCUCACACACAUCAAUUAUUUGUUUAUAUAAGUAAAAGCUUUCAACUCAAAACACCCAAUUUUGAUGGGGGAACUUUCUACUUGUAAGUUGCGUUGGGAAUUUUUUUUCGAAGAGGAAGGGUGAAGCAAUAUAGUAGCUGGUAAGUAUUUCUAUCAGUGAGAACCAAUGUUAUCGAACCAAUAGUAGAAUCAUACAAAGCCUAGUGAACAGCACCUACACACACAAGUGCAAAUACUUGCACCCAACGCGGGCAAGAUGGUUGACAAUUGCAAAGUAAAAUAAAAAGAGUACAAUUGCAGCAAGGUAUUUUUGGUUUUAGUAAUAUGAUAAAAGUAGACCCGGGGGCCAUAGUUUCCACUACGACCUUCUCUCUUCAAACAUAGCAUAUGGCGGGUACACAAAAUAUUGUUGGACAACUGAUAGAAAAGGCGCAUAGUUAUGAUAAUAUUCAUGACAUGAUCAUAGCUACGGAUUAAGCGAAGAUUGGCUAAGGACGAGGUGACGAUGCGCGUGGGAAAUGGUUCCAAAGUCGAUGUGAUCGCGGUCGGCGCGCUACCUCUACAUCUACCUUUGGGAUUAGUAUUAGACCUAAAUAAUUGUUAUUUGGUGCCAGCGUUGAGCAUGAACAUUAUAUAUGGGUCUUGUUUGAUGCGAGACGGUUAUUCAUUUAAAUCAAAGAAUAAUGGUUGUUCUAUUUAUAUGAGUAAUAUCUUUUAUGGUCAUGCACCCUUGAAGAGUGGUCUAUUUUUGAUGAAUCUCGAUAGUAGUGAUACACAUAUUCAUAAUGUUGAAAUCAAAAGAUGCAGAGUUGAUAACGAUAGUGCAACUUAUUUGUGGCACUGCCGUUUAGGUCAUAUUGGUGUAAAGCGCAUGAAGAAACUCCAUACUGAUGGACUUUUGGAACUACUUGAUUAUGAAUCACUUGGUACUUGCGAACCGUGCCUCAUGGGUAAGAUGACUAAUACGCCGUUCUCCGGUACUAUGGAGAGAGCAACGGAUUUGUUAGAAAUCAUACAUACAGAUGUAUGUGGUCUAAUGAAUGUUGAGGCUCGUGGCGGAUAUCGUUAUUUUCUCACCUUCACAGAUGAUUUAAACAGAUAUGGGUAUAUCUACUUAAUGAAACAUAAGUCUGAAACAUUUGAAAAAUUUAAAGAAUUUCAGAGUGAAGUUGAAAAUCAUCAUAACAAGAAAAUAAAGUUUCUACGAUCUGAUCGUGGAGGAGAAUAUUUGAGUUACGAGUUUGGUCUACAUUUGAAACAAUGCAGAAUAGUUUCGCAACUCACGCCACCCGGAACACCACAGCGUAAUGGUGUGUCCGAACGUUGUAAUCGUACUUUAUUAGAUAUGGUGCGAUCUAUGAUAUCUCUUACUAAUUUACUGUUAUCAUUUUGGGGUUAUGCUUUAGAGACGGCUGCAUUCUCGUUAAAUAGGACACCAUCGAAAUCCGUUGAGACGACGCCUUAUGAACUGUGGUUUGGCAAGAAACCAAAGUUGUCGUUUCUGAAAGUUUGGGGCUGCGAUGCUUAUGUGAAAAAGCUUCAACCUGAUAAGCUCGAACCCAAAUCGGAGAAAUGUGUCUUCAUAGGAUACCCAAAGGAGACUGUUGGGUAUACCUUCUAUCACAGAUCCGAAGGCAAAACUUUUGUUGCUAAAUUCGGAGUUUUUCUAGAGAAGGAGCUUCUCUCGAAAGAAGUGAGUGGGAGAAAAGUAGAACUUGAUGAGGUAACUGUACCUGCUCCCUUAUUGGAAAGUAGUACAUCACAGAAACCAGUUUCUGUGACACCUACACCAAUUAGUGAUGAAGCUAAUGAUAAUGAUCAUGAAACUUCAGAUCAAGUUACUACCGAACCUCGUAGAUCAACCAGAGUAAGAUCCGCACCAGAGUGGUACGAUAAUCCUGUUCUGGAAGUCAUGCUACUAGAUCAUGAUGAACCUACGAACUAUGAAGAAGCGAUGGUGAGCCCAGAUUCCGCAAAAUGGCUAAAAGCCAUGAAAUCUGAGAUGGGAUCCAUGUAUGAGAACAAAGUGUGGACUUUGGUUGACUUGCCCGUUGAUCGGCAAGCAAUUGAGAAUAAAUGGAUCUUCAUGAAGAAGACUGACGCUGACGGAAAUGUUACUGUCUACAAAGCUCGACUUGUUGCAAAAGGUUUUCGACAAGUUCAAGGGAUUGACUACGAUGAGACCAUCUCACCCGUAGCGAUGCUUAAGUCUGUUCGGAUCAUGUUAGCAAUUGCCGCAUUUUAUGAUUAUGAAAUUUGGCAAAUGGAUGUCAAAACUGCAUUCCUGAAUGGAUUUCUGGAAGAAGAGUUGUAUAUGAUGCAACCAGAAGGUUUUGUCGAUCCAAAGGGAGCUAACAAAGUGUGCAAGCUCCAGCGAUCCAUUUAUGGACUGGUGCAAGCCUCUCGGAGUUGGAAUAAUCGUUUUGAUAGUGUGAUCAAAGCAUUUGGUUUUGUACAGACUUUUGGAGAAGCCUGUAUUUACAAGAAAGUGAGUGGGAGCUCUGUAGCAUUUCUGAUAUUAUAUGUGGAUGACAUAUUAUUGAUUGGAAAUGAUAUAGAAUUUCUAGAUAGCAUAAAGGGAUACUUGAAUAUGAGUUUUUCAAUGAAAGACCUCGGUGAAGCUGCUUACAUAUUGGGCAUUAAGAUCUAUAGAGAUAGAUCAAGACGCUUAAUUGGACUUUCACAAAGCACAUACCUUGACAAGGUUUUGAAGAAGUUCAAAAUGGAUCAAGCAAAGAAAGGGUUCUUGCCUGUGUUACAAGGUGUGAAGUUGAGUAAGACUCAAUGUCCGACCACCAUAGAAGAUAGAGAGAAAAUAAAAAAUGUUCCCUAUGCUUCAGCCAUAGGCUCUAUCAUGUAUGCAAUGUUGUGUACUAGACCUGAUGUGUGCCUUGCUAUAAGUCUAGCAGGGAGGUACCAAAGUAAUCCAGGAGUGGAUCACUGAACAGCGGUCAAGAACAUCCUGAAAUACCUGAAAAGGACUAAGGAUAUGUUUCUCGUAUAUGGAGGUGACAAAGAGCUCAUCGUAAAUGGUUACGUUGAUGCAAGCUUUGACACUGAUCCGGACGAUUCUAAAUCGCAAACCGGAUACAUGUUUUUACUGAACGGUGGAGCUGUCAGUUGGUGCAGUUCUAAACAAAGCGUCGUGGCGGGAUCUACAUGUGAAGCGGAGUACAUAGCUGCUUCGGAAGCAGCAAAUGAAGAAGUCUGGAUGAAGGAGUUCAUAUCCGAUCUAGGUGUCAUACCUAGUGCAUCGGGUCCAAUGAAAAUCUUUUGUGACAAUACUGGUGCAAUUGCCUUGGCGAAGGAAUCCAGAUUUCACAAGAGAACCAAACACAUCAAGAGACGCUUCAAUUCCAUUCGGGAUUUAGUCCAAGUGGGAGACAUAGAAAUUUGCAAGAUACAUACGGAUUUGAAUGUUGCAGACCCGCUGACUAAGCCUCUUCCACGAGCAAAACAUGAUCAGCACCAAGACUCCAUGGGUGUUAGAAUCAUUACUGUGUAAUCUAGAUUAUUGACUCUAGUGCAAGUGGGAGACUGAAGGAAAUAUGCCCUAGAGGCAAUAAUAAAGUUAUUAUUUAUUUCCUUAUAUCAUGAUAAAUGUUUAUUAUUCAUGCUAGAAUUGUAUUAACCGGAAACAUAAUACAUGUGUGAAUACAUAGACAAAAACAGAGAGUCACUAGUAUGUCUCUACUUGACUAGCUCGUUAAUCAAAGAUGGUUAUGUUUCCUAACCAUAGACAUGAGUUGUCAUUUGAUUAACGGAAUCACAUCAUUAGGAGAAUGAUGUGAUUGACUUGACCCAUUCCGUUAGCUUAGCACUUAAUCGUUUAGUUUGUUGCUAUUGCUUUCUUCAUAACUUAUAUAUGUUCCUAUGACUAUGAGAGUAUGCAACUCCCGUUUACCGGAGGAACACUUUGUGUGCUACCAAACGUCACAACGUAACUGGGUGAUUAUAAAGGUGCUCUACAGGUGUCUCCGAGCCAGAUCCAAUCGAGAAAGUUUGAUCAUUUAUGCUCCGUCAAAGGACAAGCUCCUCAGUCAUCGAGCCAGAUCCAAUCGAGGAGGGGUGAUCGUUUGCGCAAAAAAUCUUGCUCCCAAAGUAUAAGCUCAUCCGUCACCGAGCUAGAUGCAAGCGAGGAAGGUUCAUUGUUUGCGCAGAAAAUCUCGCUUUGCUAAAGAGCAGCUCAUCCGUCACCGAGGUAGAUCCGAUCGAGGAGGGUUGAUUGUUUGCGUGGGAAAUCUUGCUCCGCCAAAGAGCAAGCUCAUCCGUCAACGAGCCAGAUCCAAUUGAGGAAGGUUCAUCGUUUGCACAGAAAUUCUCACUCAGCCAAAGAGCAAGCUCAUUGGUCACCGAGUCAAAUCCAAUCAAGGAGGGUUGAUCAUUUAUGCUCCAUCAAAGGACAUGCUCUCUGUCACUGAGCCAGACCCAGUUGAGGAAGGUUCAUUGUUUGCACAGAAAUUCUCGGUCAGCCAAAGAGCAAGCUCAUCGGUCACCGUGUCAGAUCCAAUCAAGGAGGGUUGAUCGUUUAUGCUCCAUCAAAGGACAUGCUCUCUGUCACCGAGCCAGGCCCAAUUGAGGAAGGUUGGUCAUUAUCGUAGAAAUCUCAUGGUCGGGCUGGAAGGAGAACACUCCUAUGGUCCUAAUGACAACCAUGAGAAUGUCCGCCAUUUUUUCAUGUCAUUCUCAACGGUGAUGUAUAUGUAGCUUACUUUUUUUCCCAAGCAUAACUUUACCUCUUUUUUCCCAAGCAUAACUUUACCUCUUUUUCCCCCUAUUUUCUAGCAUGUUAAAUUUACUCUCCCAAAUCUCAUGGUUAGGUUGGAAGGAAAUAUUACUAAACUCAAGCCAUCCAUCGUCGAGCCAGAUUGAGGAGUUCAGUGGCGGAGACAGGGGGGGCAGCAGGGGCCCUGGCCCCCCUGACAUUGGAAAUUUGCUGCUAAUUCACUGAUGAACAGUGCAUAAUUAGCAAUACUUUAAUGCUAAAAGUGUAUUUUCCUAUGCUUUGGCCCUCCUUAACCUACUUUGACGGCACUUGGCCCUUCUGAUCCAUAUUUCCUGGCUCCGCCACUAGAGGAGUUGCCUAGAAUUCUCAUGGUCAGGUCAAAAGGAAACAUUGCCGUCGUCGAGCCAGAUCUGAUCGAGGAAGGCAGUGUGCCCACGCGUAAAUCCCAUGGUUAGCUUGGAAGGAAACGAUCCUAGUGACAACCACAUGUCCAUCGCCUGAUCCUCUCCUUCUCGACAGCGAAAUGUACGUUUUUUUACCAUCUUAAAUUUACCGCAUGUUUUGUUUCGACCCUGGUCCUAUUUCUGCCAUUUUAUUUUGUAUCUUUCCACCAUAAAUUCACAUUAGUUUUAUUUCCUGCGAUGAUGGUCCUACUUUUAUACAUUAUAUUAAUUUCAUUUUGCCUAUUCAUUUUUAUUUGCUUAUCUUUACUAUUAGAUCCUAACAUUAAAUGAGAGUUGGGGAUUAGACGCGUGCACGUCGCUUACUUCCUCCCCGCCCACCGCCUCUCCUGGACCCCGUCCCCUCCCCAGGGACGGCACCGGUAGGGGCGAGCCGGGGAUUGUACGUUUAUAUGCCACCUCCCCUGGACCCCUCCUCCCCAGGGACGACACUGGUAGGGGCAAACUGGGGACGGUAUGUUUGCACACCGCCUCCCUUAGAUCCCCCCUCCCCAAGGACCGCCCUAGUAGGGGGUGAGUCGAGCCCAUGGCUCUCCCCACCGCCUCCCCCAGAUACGAAUGCACCUAACACUAAAACAUGUGCACAUACAUCCAUAUCUAAACAAAUCCGAGACAACUAAUUCGGGACGGGCGAAGCACAUGUUACAUCCUCCCCCACCGAUUCUCCUCGAAAACCCGCCUUAAACGGCCCACCUUUAUCGACUCACCAAAAAAAAAUCACGUUUUCUUUGGCAAGCCACAAAACACGUACCAAAAAAAUAAAUAAGAUGAUAUACUUCUAGUUUAUUAUGUCGGCAGAUAUAUCAGGGACAAGAUCUCGUUCGCCAAACACUCAUUUACACAAUCGCAUUAGCCUUAAAAAUUAAUGUAAGUUAUUUUAGCCUUAAUUGUAUGGAUUAACAAAAGGAAAGUUAGGACAAUGUAGCUUCCCUAACAUCCCUUGUGUAUGUUAGAGGAUCCGGUUCCCCAAGAUUGAUGCCUGCCAGAUAGAUUAGCCUGUCCGGUCAGCUCACAUCCCAUCCGUCCAUCAGAUCAGAUCAGAUCAACCAGCAGUAAACAAAAUUUUACAGCAGCGAGAGGGAGACCAAAGCCCAAUCCAAUCUGAAGCAAGGGCAGUCCCGUCAUUUCGCCCCCCUCCACUUUCGCCUUGCCGCGCUCCCUCCCCGCCCUCCCCCCGAAACCCCAACCCCCACCCCGCCCACGCCGUCCCACCCCGCCCCCACUGACGCCCCGGGCCCAGCUCCGGCGAGCCCCACCCAUCNNNNNNNNNNNNNNNNNNNNNNNNNNNNNNNNNNNNNNNNNNNNNNNNNNNNNNNNNNNNNNNNNNNNNNNNNNNNNNNNNNNNNNNNNNNNNNNNNNNNNNNNNNNNNNNNNNNNNNNNNNNNNNNNNNNNNNNNNNNNNNNNNNNNNNNNNNNNNNNNNNNNNNNNNNNNNNNNNNNNNNNNNNNNNNNNNNNNNNNNNNNNNNNNNNNNNNNNNNNNNNNNNNNNNNNNNNNNNNNNNNNNNNNNNNNNNNNNNNNNNNNNNNNNNNNNNNNNNNNNNNNNNNNNNNNNNNNNNNNNNNNNNNNNNNNNNNNNNNNNNNNNNNNNNNNNNNNNNNNNNNNNNNNNNNNNNNNNNNNNNNNNNNNNNNNNNNNNNGUCACCCGCCCCCCCACCGCACCCAUCACGCGCGGGCCUAGAAAUAGGGGCGACGGACGGAGGAAUGGAGGGCGACCGUCUCCGUCCCCGUCCCCGUCCCCAAAUCAAAAUUUCAAACUUUCCCGUCCCCCUCCCCAUUCCCCACUCCCCAAAACCCUAGCGCGCCCCCCUCGCCGCCGCCGGGGAGAGUGAGGAUGCCGGACCUGCCGUGCGACGGGGACGGGGUGUGCAUGGUGUGCCGGGCCGCGGCGCCGCCGGAGGUCGAGCUGCUGCGGUGCGCCACCUGCGCCACGCCCUGGCACUCGCCCUGCCUCUCCAAGCCGCCCGCGCUCGCCGACGCCGCCGCCUGGGCCUGCCCCGACUGCUCCGGCGAGGACGCCUCCCCCUCAGCGGCCCCCGCCCCCGCCCCCACCGCCGCGCCCGGGGGCGCCGGCGGGGGGUCCGGCCUCCUCGCCGCCAUCCGCGAGAUCGAGGCGGACGCCUCCCUCACCGAGCAGGAGAAGGCCAAGCGCCGCCAGGAGCUGCUCGGCGGCAAGACCGCCGUCGCCGGCGAUGACGACGAGGAUGAGGAGGAGCAGGACGAGGACAACGCGCUCGAGAUCGUCGGCAAGAACUUCAGCUGCGUCUUCUGCAUGAAGCUCCCCGAGCGCCCCGUCACCGUGAGCAAUCCCCUCCCCUCCCCGUGUUUUACUCCGCGUCAGUUUUCGAAUAAAUGCCCAUGAUUAUAUCCACUACCAUCCCGCAACUAUUCACUGUAUAAUAUCCGCGGCGCGGAUAGAUCUCCCGGCGCUCGCUGCAAAAUAUGAUCUUCUCGUGCGCGCUUGUUGUCAUAAUGGUUAAAUCCCGCAUCAUUAGAUGCGCCCUGCGGCGGCAGUAAUGAUCCAUCAUCUUCCUCUGGGUCACUGCAUCCAUUUCUCCCCGCAUAAUCAUCACUCAUCGUCCUCUUUAUGCCGUCUCGGACGCUCUAACAUCCAUUGAUUUCAGUUUGUUCAGAUGUGCUUUUGCGGCCUUCUCUUUUUUGGUUUGAUGUAGCUGUAAUGUAAUUUCAACAUCAGUAAUCUACUUUAUUUUAAUAUAUGCGUGUUCUGUGCUUGCCUAUAGUCAGAUAGGAGCAGAGGAUCACGGCCUCCCCUGCUGUCAGAUAAUCCCCUGAUAAUUAGACGCACCCACUAGUAAUGACCCAUCUUUGCCUUGGUCAUUGCUUCCAUUGCUCACAUCUGCACAUAUAAUCCAUAGCAUUAGGACAGCUGUGAUCUAUUUGUUGUUAUUGUUACAUCAUCAUUUAUUUUCUGAUGACGGCUUGCGUGCUCGGUGCUUGUCUGUAGUUAGAUAGGAGUAAAGUAUCAUGACCUCGUCUGUUUGUAGGCUUAAUCACCUGUGUACUUUUAUAACAGCAUGAAUGGUGUUUACCUGGGAGCGUUGUUCAGCAUUGCUUACAUGUGCGCAUAUGAAUCCUAGCUCUGCAACAGCUGCAGUCUUUUUGUUGUUAUUACUGCAGCACCAUGUGUUUUUCUGAUGAUGGCAGUUUGGUGCUUGUCUGUAGUCAAAUACUCCCUCCGUUCUGAAUUACUCGUCGCAGAAAUGGAUGUAUCUAGAUGUAUUUUAGUUCUAGAUACAUCCAUUUCUAUGACGAGUAAUUUGGAACGAAGGGAGUAGGAGUAAAUGAUUGCAUCUUUGUCUGUUGUUGGGUAAUCACCUGUAAGCUUUAACAGUUGCUAAAAAUUGUAGUAACCUGGCCACUUGACCCAGGGGAGCUCCUGUGGUGGUGUUUUAAAUGAUAUCUGGAUAGUCUGGUCAAGUGUAAUGUCAUUUGCAACUUACUGUAGAUGGCCUUGCUGUCCUGCUCCUUUUGCUGGUUUGUUAAGUCUAUUCACCUUUUUUUGGUUUGUCUGUGCCUUGGACUGCUAAUGCACAGUCUGUUGACCAAAUGAUUUGAUUCUCCCUGAUAUUUGCUAGUAUCUUGUACUGCCUAGGGUAUUUUGUCUGUUUUUUGUGUGGCAAAGUGAUUACAUACAUGAUCUAUGCUGCAGUUCAAGGGGUGAAAACAUCAUCAUGCUAUAUGAAUGAAGUAAUGUUUGUUAUACACAAAUCUCCAAACUCCUUCAAUGUUGAUUAGCAGAGUAUUAAUAUACAACUAAAGUGAAUGAUACCUGGCAUUGGCUACUCUUUGGUUUCUUUUGAGAGUUUGCUGAAAGCAUGGUUUCAUGUUUCCUUUCAUCAUGAAUGCCACUUUAAAUUGAGUCAGGUUUAGCUACAUAUCUUAGCCAGCUGGCAUACUGUGUUGGGCUAAGUCCUUGAACCUAGAUGGCUGGGUUUACAACCAUGUGUUCCUUGCCAUUGCACCCCUGGAGUCCUGAAUAUUUAUUUGAGUUCAUGGUUUACCACCUGCCUAUGCAUGUUCCUCCCAAUUUGUGAUUCCAGUCAAUAUGUUGUUUGACCAACAGGCUUCAUCAUAGUUAUUGGCUAGCUCUUGAUCUGUACCACCUACUUUGGUUGGUUGGACCAGGGCAUGUGAAGCACCCUUUGCCCUUUUGGUUUGUAAUCUUAGAUUGCUGAUACCCUCUGCUGGCAUAAAAGGUUGCUUGCCAUAGCCUCUCUUUGACAUGCUUCUGGACACAUGCAUAGCCUUUUAACUGUCACUAUAUUUGAAAGGAGGCUGUUACUUGUCAUGUCCGCACACUUUUUAAGCUGAAAACUAUGAUUACUUCUGUUUAUAAUCUGUCAGUAACGAUUUCUACUUGUGUUUUUAUUUGAUGUUAUGUUUGAUUAUGAUUUCAUAUUUAAGCUUUCCUUGUAUGUUCUUUUUCUGUUCUAAAUACUUUACUCAGGAUAACAAUACUCCUGCCUACUAUAUAUUUGGUGCUAUCUCUGUUCACUACAUUCUACUUUUGAAUCUUUGUAGACACCGUGUGGCCACAACUUCUGUUUGAAAUGCUUUGAGAAGUGGGUUAACAGUGGAAAAAGGACCUGUGGAAAAUGCCGGGGACCAAUCCCAUCCAAAAUGGCUUCGCAGCCAAGGAUUAAUGCAGCGUUGGUUGCGGUUAUCCGUAUGGCUAGGACUGCAAAGAAUGCUAGUGCAGGUGGCUCUGGAAAUCCUGUUCAUUACAUAAGAAAUGAGGCUAGACCCGACAAGGCUUUCACAACUGACAGAGCAAAGAAGGCUGGGAAAGCUAAUGCUUCAAGUGGCCAGAUCUUUGUGACCAUUGCACCUGAUCAUUUUGGCCCCAUUCCAGCAGAAAACGACCCCAAAAGGCGUCUUGGUGUGUUAGUCGGGGAAACCUGGGAAGACCGCCUUGAGUGCAGGCAGUGGGGUGCUCAUUUCCCUCAUGUUGCUGGUAUUGCUGGCCAGUCAGAACAUGGUGCCCAGUCAGUGGCGCUGUCAGGUGGUUACAUAGAUGAUGAGGACCAUGGGGAGUGGUUCCUGUAUACUGGAAGGUUAGCUAGUUUACUCACUUGCUAUCAUUUUACUUCCGUGUCUGAUCCUACACGUGAGCACUUAUUUCUGUGAAUAAUUUGUACUGACAGUGGUGGAAGAGACCUAAGUGGGAACAAGCGAACAAACAAGGAGCAAUCUUCUGAUCAGAAAUUUGACAAGAUGAAUGCUGCUCUGCGUCUUAGUUGCAAGAAGGGUUACCCUGUCAGGGUUGUGCGGUAUGUUUUUCUUGCCAUAAUUAUUUCCUCAAAUAUAUCAGCGUUUGAUAAGUCCGUAGUUGAUAUCACAGUUACACUCUAGCCUGACAGUGUUAAUACUGUUAAUUAUUCCCUUACCUUGAAUAGUUUUAUGUUGUUACAUGUGCUGCAUAUAUGGAGACCAUCCACUGUUCUGCUUAAAUUUGUUAUCUAUUAUUUAUAUCAUCAUCCUAUUUAUAUUUGACUACACUAUCUUAAAAAGGUCCCACAAAGAGAAGCGUUCUUCAUAUGCUCCUGAAACUGGUGUGCGUUAUGAUGGAGUCUACAGGAUUGAGAAAUGCUGGAGGAAGAUUGGUGUUCAGGUAAUUUUACACCCUGUGCAGAGGUUCAACAUUGCUUUUCUCUAUUUUGUGCCACUGAAUGGAAGAUAAUGUAUAUUCUUUUGAUUUCUGUCUCAGGGUACAUACAAGGUCUGCAGGUACCUCUUUGUACGAUGCGACAAUGAACCAGCUCCAUGGACCAGGUUUGACAAAGCUAUUACAUUUUGUUUUGGCAAUAUGCUUUUGUCUUGAAAAGAAGUGGCAUUACUUACACUGAUGUUGUGGUAUCUGGGUUUUAGUGAUCUUCAUGGUGACCGGCCAAGGCCACUGCCCAGGAUUAAGGAGCUGCAAGGUGCUACUGACAUCACUGAACGGGCAGGAUCCCCCUCCUGGGACUAUGUUGUAUGUCCAUGCGAUUUUCUUCUUCUGAUGUUUUCACUUACAGGCAUACAUCAUCACCACUGAUCGAUCUUUAUCUGUUUGUUAUAGGAAAAUGAAGGCUGGAAGUGGGUGAAGCCUCCACCAAUCAGCAAGAAGCCCGCCCAGUCAGGCGAUCCUGAAACUGACAAGCAAUUCAGGAAAUACCAGAAGCGUGCUCAUAUGUCUAUGAAUGAGAGGCUGUUGAAGGGUUAGUUUUUAUGCCGUGUGUUUUGAUUGCUACGCUCUGUUUGGCUUAAAUAGCUGAAAUCUAUUCCAAGCAUUCAUUCUCCUAAUGCGUGCUUGUGUUUGUUUGGUCAUGUGCAGAGUUUGGCUGCUCCAUUUGCAAGAAUUUGAUGAAGGAACCACUUACUACUCCCUGUGGUCAUAACUUCUGCAAAGCUUGUUUGACCGCUGCAUUUGGUGACGAGGGUUCUAUGAGGGAAAGAAGCAGGGGCGGGCGCACUCUGCGGGCACAGAAGAUUGUGAAGAACUGCCCCUCCUGCCCAACUGAUAUUUGCGACUUCCUGGAGAACCCACAGGCAUGUAAUUGAAACACAAGUCUGUUGAAGCAUGUUUUAAAGUAUGUUUACUGAUGGACGCCUUCUGUUAUUUGUGUUGCAGAUUAACAUAGAGAUGAAGGAUCUGAUUGACAAUCUGCUUGCCAAGGCUGCCAAGGAGAAGCCAGACGCGGAGGGAUCUGCUGAGGAAAAUGAUGAUGAUGAGGAUGCUCUGGAGAAGGAAGAGGAGGAUGACAGCAGCCUGAACGAGGAAGAGAAUGAUGAUGGUGCUGAGAACAAGGCUGGAGAAGAGGAUGCUGUCGUCACAAUCGUGGUUGAGGCCAAGGAUGAGCUGAAGAAGCCUCUGAGGCGCAAGGGAGCUGAGGAGGAGGCCAAAGAUGAGAAGAAGAUCAAGACCACUGCUGGUGCUCCUGAUGUGGAAAAUGCAGCUGAAGAAGACGCCGAGAUGGUUGAAAAGGAGGAAGAAGAAGGUUCCCAGAAGGCUCAGAAGAAGCGCAAGGGGCGUGCUGGGACCGCAGCUGGCGGCGGUAAGAGGAAGAGGGCCAGCCCUGCUGCUGCUGAAGAGAAGGCCGCCGCAGCUGGUGGCGGUAAGAGGAAGAAGGCAAGCCCUGCUGCAGCUGAAGAGACCCCUGCUGCUGCAAGCACCCCUCGCCGGGCGACCAGGAGUGGCGGUGUGGUGGUGGCUGGUGGGAGCCCUGCUUCCAGGACCAGGAGCAACACCAAGGCCGACAACUGAAGCUCCGUUGAAGAAGAGGAGCGGCGCCGAGGCUGAUGCCCACCAUUGAAGAAGAAGCUCCGUUUUUUGGCUGGUCGCGUAUUAUAUAUAUAGUUUAUAUUUAUCCGGAAGACUGUUUUAUCCGUUGUGUCUUGUCCCGAGACUUGGUUGCUGCUGCUGGCACUUAUUUUGGGUCGGAACCUUGUAGUUAAGUUCCUGCUAUAUGGAUCCUGGAUAUUAUCUAUCAGGUUAUGGUUAUGAUGAUGAUGCUUGAACUAUAUUUACUGGUGUGAUUGUUUGUUUCUUUCUUUCUGCUGCAUCU